RNAcentral lists this ribosomal RNA (443 nucleotides) under uncultured bacterium. Its description in RNAcentral is "partial 16S ribosomal RNA". It matches the Rfam family "Bacterial small subunit ribosomal RNA", at positions 338 to 795 of the family's 1533-position model. The record is from RNAcentral.
CCUACGUGAGGCUGCAGUGGGGAAUAUUGGGCAAUGGAGGCAACUCUGACCCAGCAACGCCGCGUGAAUGAUGAAGGUCUUCGGAGUGUAAAGUUCUGUGAUGGGGGAUGAACACAAUGACGGUACCCCAAUAGCAAGCCACGGCUAACUACGUGCCAGCAGCCGCGGUAAUACGGAGGUGGCAAGCGUUAUCAGGAAUGACUGGGCGUAAGGAGUGCGUAGGUGGUUUAGUAAGUUGGCGGUGUAAUUCCGGGGCUCAACCUCGGCGUUACCGCCAAAACUAUUAGACUAGAGUACAGGAGGGGUAGGUGGAAUUCCUAGUGUAGCGGUGGAAUGCGUAGAUAUUAGGAGGAACAUCAGGGGCGAAGGCGACUUACUGGACUGUAACUGACACUGAGGCACGAAAGCGUGGGGAGCAAACAGGAUUAGAUACCCGAGUAGUC